RNAcentral lists this ribosomal RNA (443 nucleotides) under uncultured bacterium. Its description in RNAcentral is "partial 16S ribosomal RNA". It matches the Rfam family "Bacterial small subunit ribosomal RNA", at positions 338 to 795 of the family's 1533-position model. The record is from RNAcentral.
CCUACGGGGGGCAGCAGUGGGGAAUAUUGGGCAAUGGGCGCAAGCCUGACCCAGCAACGCCGCGUGAAGGAAGAAGGCUUUCGGGUUGUAAACUUCUUUUCUGAGGGACGAAGAAAGUGACGGUACCUCAGGAAUAAGCCACGGCUAACUACGUGACAGCAGCCGCGGUAAUACGUAGGUGGCAAGCGUUAUCCGGAUUUAUUGGGUGUAAAGGGCGGGUAGGGGGGAAAGUAAGUCAGAUGUGAAAACUCAGGGCUCAACCCUGAGCCUGCAGUUGAAACUGUUUGUCUUGAGUGCUGGCAGGGAAGUCGGAAUUCCGUGUGUAGCGGUGAAAUGCGUAGAUAUACGGAGGAACCCCGGUGGCGAAGGCGGAUUGCUGGACAGUAACUGACGCUGAGGCGCGAAAGCGUGGGGAGCAAACAGGAUUAGAUACCCGUGUAGUC